GCGCCACUCUACCUGACUUCUUCUCCUUAAUCCUCACUCGAGUAUUUAGACGUUCUUCCCAAAUGGUUUGUCACCACUAACUCAUUUCCCCUAAAUAUCCAAGUGAGAAUCUUCAGACACUUCCUAUAAGCCUAGAUAUCUAGGGCUUAUGAAUUAAUGUUGUACUUAAUGCAUCUUUAUCAUAAUUUGUAAAAAAAAAAAAAAAAAAAGGGGAUCUAAAUCACAGACUUAAAAAAAUCACCCAAAAAAGGUAGUUCAUUUUGGGGAAUGCUUUUGAAAAAAUUUAGGGACUUCUUGUUGUAAACUAGGUUUUUGCAAAGGUAUAUGAAUGAGUGAGGUUUAAAUUUGAUAGUGCUCUGAAUACUGCUUUUCCAGAUUCAGAAAUUAAUAAUACGCUGUUUGAGGAAGGAACCCACGUCAAUAGAAGGAUUGCAUACAAGUGCACCUGCGUGUAUCCUGAUGUUGCUUGGAUAUGAAUGUUGAUACAGUGGGUGGUUUAAGUAGGAAAUAUUCAGUGCUUUCCUUCUUGCUUCUGAGCAUCCCUGAAGUUCUAGGGAAACAAAGUAAAAGACGUGAUCAUUGCCUUCUAGGGGUUUCAGAAGGGAAGGUCACACCUGCACACGGAAAAGCAGGGACGUACCCAUGCUGCCCUGUUCUCGGGAUACCGGGGAAAGGGUUGCAGAACCGUUCCACCUGCUCACCAGCUCCAGGAUUUGGCAGCCAGUGCCACUCCUCUGACCUCCGAGGCUCGGCGUUAUGGACUUACCCCAGUAGGGAUGGAUCCUGCCUUUCCCACCUCACAGUGACUUCUGUGAGGGUUAAACGAGAGCCGUGAGAGCAAUGCAUGUCAGCUGUAUCCAUUCCCGUAGGAUUUGGAUUUCAGGAUUACGUUCUGAUGUAUAAUCUGCAAAAUUAUUCUGCAUUGUCGAGUCUUUACCAGAUUCCCAAGAUGCAACAGGCUUUCAGAUUUAUUAUUCUCCCACAAUGAAGAAACUCAAGGAUACGAAAACCUGGAAGAGCUUUUCAUUUGACAUCUUUCUUUCAAGGUAACAGUUCUGCUGCAGUUUGUUUAGUGUGCACCAGCUUAUUAGUGGCAGCUUUGUGUGAAAAUGUGGUUAUCACAAAAGGUAAUAUAUGGUAAAGAGCAGCUGCUCCUAAUCACAAACCAUCCAUAAAUAGCUUUCCCCCCUUGAGAAGACUCUCCAUUCUCUGGUUGUAACAGUCAGCAGAAAAUUAAAACCCCAUAGGAUGAUAAAUAGUUUAAAACAUAUUUCUUCCCAGUGUUUUGAAUGUUGUCUUGUAAUGCAGUGCACUUUUACUGAACCAGAAAUUGUCUGUAAUAAAAGAAUAUUGGGAGAAAAUGUUUAGAUUCUCACUGAAUUCUAGAACUUAGAAGGAAUAUUCUGGUUUCACUGUUAAAGGUUAAUCACUGAGUAUAUGUCAUAGGCUGCAAUAAAAUGAGAGUUUUUAGUCUCCUGCUCCCAAUAAACAGUUACAAUUUUUAACACAUCAAAGUUGGAGACCUUUUUUUCUUAAUUUAAAAUAACAGCCAAAUGAAUUUCUUGGCAAUAAGCAAAUGCUUGCUUUUAAAAAUCCUAUAAAUAUUUCAUUUUUUAAGUCGUCAAAAAGAAAACAAAUCACUUCUUUCAGCUGUCUUUUGACACAAAGCCAUCUUUUCUGUACACACAGGGAAAAAAUAUUGCUCUUUAUGCUGAUGCCUUUUCUGGCUAUUAGUCAUCUGUUUAUACAUGAUAUUGACCAUUCCCUGGAGGCACUCUGAACUUGCACCUUCCCUUCCUUAUGAAAGAAAUUGAGGAGUCACAGAAAUAAUUUCAGAAUUUUCUCAAGACUGUUGAGACUAAAUUCUAAAUGAUCAAACCAUGGUAGCAAAUUCAUUGUCAGGUCGAGGCUGUGAUUUUUCUUUUCUUUUUUUUUUCUUUUGUGACAGUCUCACUCUGUCGCCAGGCUGGA
Molecule: long non-coding RNA, 1971 nt
Organism: Sapajus apella (tufted capuchin)
Lineage: Eukaryota; Metazoa; Chordata; Mammalia; Primates; Cebidae
Exons: 3
Source: RefSeq, a predicted model, not a curated record